GAUUAAGCCAUGCAUGUCUAAGUGCAAACCGUCCUCGUACGGUGAAACCGCGAAAGGCUCAUUAAAUCAGUUAUGGUUCCUUAGAUCGUACGCACGUUACUUGGAUAACUGUGGUAAUUCUAGAGCUAAUACAUGCCGACAGAGUUCCGACCAAUGGGGCUUGCUUCGCGGCACGUCUUGUUCGGAAGGAACGCUUUUAUUAGAUCAAAACCGGCCAGGCGGCAGCAAUUCCUGCUGUCGCGAACGGCUCGCGCAAAGAAUUGACGAAUCUGAAUAACUUUGGCUGAUCGCACGGUCCUAGCACCGGCGACGUAUCUUUCAAAUGUCUGCCUUAUCAACUGUCGACGGUAGUUUCGACGCCUACCGUGGUGGUAACGGGUAACGGGGAAUCAGGGUUCGAUUCCGGAGAGGGAGCCUGAGAAACGGCUACCACAUCCAAGGAAGGCAGCAGGCGCGUAAAUUACCCACUCCCGGCACGGGGAGGUAGUGACGAAAAAUAACGAUACGGGACUCAUUUGAGGCCCCGUAAUCGGAAUGAACACAGCGUAAAAACU
This 554-nucleotide ribosomal RNA is filed under the name Kuwania quercus. Its description in RNAcentral is "bacterial SSU rRNA". It matches the Rfam family "Eukaryotic small subunit ribosomal RNA", at positions 42 to 533 of the family's 1831-position model. The record is from RNAcentral. Lineage: Eukaryota; Metazoa; Arthropoda; Insecta; Hemiptera; Kuwaniidae.